CCCGCCCGAAAAAUGGGAGGGUUUGGGUAAAAAUAUAUGCCCGAAAUAUAGGUUUGGGCAAAACAUGAGGCCCGUUUAAAAAACGGGCCGGGACUUAGGCAAAAAACUUUUCGCCCUAGCCCGACCCAAAUAUAUAUUAAAUAUAUAAUAUAUUUUAUAGUUUUUAAAAUAUGCUACUUUUAAGUUUUAAGUUAAAUGUUUUAAAUUUUGUUUCACUUCCGUCUUCUACCAAUCUUCCAAAAUCCCUAACCUAUCGUGCCCUUCUCCCUUUUUUCCCAAUUCCAAAAUACCGAUCCACCUCUACCGAUCUACCUCCAAUCCUCCACCCAAUUUAAGGUAAAUGGAGCUCUAUUUUGAAAAUAAUUUUGUCAAAGUAAACCAUUCACAAUCGUUGUAUUUUGCUUAAUUUUUGCGUCUGAAUCUUUUAAGAAAUCAUUAACAAUGGAUCCCUUGAUGAUUCCCUUCCAUUUUCUGUUUGUUUGUUUCUGGUUAAUUCGGGUCAUUUUAUGUUUGGCUGUUUGUUUCUGGUUAAUCCGGGUAACUUCAUUUUCUUCUUCUUCCAUUUUUUGUUUGUUUAUGUCUGUAUUUUGCUUAAUGUUUACUAAUUAGUAAUUACAUUGAUCUCUUUUACUGGAAUUUGGUGCAAGUACCAGAUGCGGGUAUUUUGCCGAAUUCUUUUUUUAAGUUUCUGUUUCUGUCUAUUUUUGUGAGUACCAUAUUUCUAGUUAAUGCGAGUACCAUAUUUCUACUUAAUGUUUGUUUCUGACUUUCUGUGUGUUUCUUUUUUUAACAUAGACUUCAAUAAUUAAUGAAUUUGGCAACAUGUGGUAGUGUUUUUCUUAUGAUGUUGAUUUGGUAUUUCAUUUCCUAUAUAUAUAAAAUCAUUCAUUAAGUAAAGAAAAUAAUUGAUAGAAAUAUGUAGGAAAUUCUUAUCUAAUAUUGUUGAAAAAGUAACUUAGUUAAUUUCAGAAUAAAUUGAAUAGUUUAAUUCUUAUACUAUUUAAAAAAUAAGCAGACAAGAGUGAUUGAUGAUAAUGUUAACUAUUUGCAUUAUAUGUUAACUAUAGCACUAUUUAGUUGUUAGAGACUUGUUUGAAAAGUCAUUCCUUUCACACUUUGCAUUAAUUAAUAUAUAAAAUGUGUUGGCCAAAACUUAUAUACAAAAAAUUGUUCUUAAUUUUUUUAAGUAAACAAACAAUAAAGACUAUUUUUUUUAGUGAUACACUUAACACCUAGAUUUAUUUAAGAGUUAAUUGGUAUAACUUGUUAAUCUGGGUAACUACAUUUUCAUCAUCUUCUUCUUCUUCUUCUUCCAUUUUAUGUUUGUUUCUGUCUGUAUUUUGCUUAAUGUUUACUAAUUACAUUGAUCUCUUUUACUGGAAUUUGGUGCGAGUACCAGAUACGGAUAUUUUGCCGAAUUCUUUUUUUAAGUUUCUGUCUGUAUUUUGCUUAAUGUGUUCAUGUCUGUUUCUUUUUUUAACAUAGACUUCAAUAGUGACAUUAAGCUAGAUCGUUUUAGAUGAUCUGUUAUGUAUGUUACUUGUAGUUUCUAGUUAUUUUUAAUUGAAAAGAGUUUAGUUGAGGAGUAGGAAGUAAGCAGCACUUAUUUGAUAAGUGGUGUUAAAAUACUUGAGUCAUAUUAUGACAGUAUACUUGUGCAAGCUCCAAUAUAGUGGCUGGAGUUGAUAUUGUCAUAUCACAAUAAAGUUCUCAGAAUUUUGAAAUUGCAUCGGAUUCGAGUUUAAUGAAUUUAUUAUAAUGUUUACUGAGAUCACAAACUUAGUUUCUUCAUUUAAUCUUAUCUUUUUUUCUUUUUGCUUUGUUUUAUUGUAGAAACAAGCGACAUUGAAAUCGAUUUGGCUUACCUUAGCUUCCUUUCCCGUAAGCUUUCAUUUACAUUUUCCUUUUAGAAUUUAAUUUAAUUUGAUUUUCUUUUAUGUUACUUUGUACAACAUUUUGCAAUUAAAUGCAGCAUUAGCAGAUUUUCUAGAUGAUAAUUUGUGUCCUUAUCUCAAAUGAUUGGUAUGAUUAUUGAUUCCUCUGAAAAAGAAGUGAACUUCCAAAAUAUUAGAGGGAAAGAAAAAUUUUGAUUUAAUUAUGGUAAUGUUAUGCUAAAAUUGUUUAUCUACUAGUAGGAAAAUAAUGGGAUUGAGAAAUAAAGAUGGUUCUAUUUAUGAAUUUGGAUUGGAUUUAUGCAGUUCGGACUGGAAAAUAAUUGUUCUUAGCAGAUAAAUGAUCAUAGAAAUAUUUGUUUUUUGAUUAAAAUUGAUUUAUUUUUUAUAGAGCAUGUACUUUGCAUUUAAUUGAAGUCUAGGUGAAAUUGAUUUAUUUUUUAUGUACCACCUUUUAUUAAAAAAUGCCCAUAAUAUAUUUUUAUAUUUUUAUAUUUUUUAUGUACCACCUUUUAUUUAAAAAUGGGUCGGGUCGGGCCAGGCUCGAGCUUAGUAUUUUUUUCCCUAGGCAGUGCUUGGACAAGAUUUUAGGCCCAUAUUUCGGGCCGGACCCGGGCCUAGAAAGCGGGUCGAAAUUUUUUUCUGGGCUAGGCCCGGCCUCGCCCAUGAGCACCUCUAUUAGGAAUCAUGGAAUUUGAACUAAAAUAUCAUACUUUUUAAGGUAAACUACUAGGAUUAUCGCUUGAGUUUUAGGGUCACUCAAAAUUUUUUAUUUCAGUCACUCUUGUUAGAUUAAUUGCACUUUGUAGUCACUCCACCGUUCAAAUUUAUUUGACCAUCAAAUGGAAUGGCAGUAUAAUAACAAAUUUUGACCUCAACAUUCACAUAUUUUGUUAAUUAGUUCUAAUUUAUUUUUAAAAAUUAACAAAUUUAACUGUCAACAUUUAUACAUGUUGUCAAAUUUAUCCUGAUACUAAAAAUUCAAAAUUUAUAUAAAUAAAGAAUUUAAAAAUAAAUAUAAAAAAUUGAAAGUUAUUAAAAUUUAUAAAAAAUAAAAAAAAUAUUAUAAAAUAUUCAAAUAAUCACUAAAAUUACAUUAAAAGUUUUAAAUUUUAAUAUAUUAUUUUCAAAAUAUAUAAUUCCAUUAAAAUUUAAGAGAUAUUUAAAGUAUUUUUUUUCAUUUUUUACUUUUAUUUUUCUUUUUCAAUUUUUUAGACAAUGUCACUGCUCCUUUCUCAUUGUCAUUUCACAUAAUUGCUUCCAACUUGUAAUAAGUCCAUUGGAGGACUUGCAUUUUCUAAUGUAGUUUACCCACUUUAUGUAUAUUUCAUAUUUAUUUCUAAAUUGUGUUAAUUAAUUUAAUUCUUCAUAAAUUUUUAGCCAAGAUUCCAAAAUCACAUCAAUUAACAAUUAUUCACUUAUUAUUUUAUCAAUUCGUUUAAACAUUCUUAUAUGUAUUAAUCAUUCCAUCACUUAUAACCAGCGGUAUAGCAAGGGGGUUGGUAGGGGGACUGUCCCCCUUAAAAUGGAAAAUUUUUCAUAACCUUUAAAUUGUUUAAAAUUGUAAAUUAGUAAAGGUAAAAAUGCACUUUGGCCCCCGUAAAAAUGAUAAAAAUUGAUUUAAUCCUUUAAAAUUUAUAAAGAUAUAGGCUAUUAAAAUGGUGAAAUUGCAUUUUUACUAUCAUAAAAAUUACAAUUCAAUUUUGGCCCCUAAAAAUAUUUUAUGGCUUCGCCCCUGCUUAUAACCAUUUCGUAACAUUUCAAAUUCAUCUACUAUUUUUUUUCUCCUCCUCUCCAUUCCACAUCCUUUAUAUAUAUGUGUUAGAAUCAUUAGUGUUAAACCAAGCUUUAUUUGAUAAAAUGUUUUGAUAUAAAAAAUUGAAGUGUUUUUGAAUAAAAGUUAAAAAUGAACAAAAUUGACAAAAUGAUUUGUUAAAAUUAAAGCCUAAGAGUUAAAACCUUGAAUAUCCACUUUGAACUCUUAGAAAAAAAUUUAAACCUCUUUAAAAUCAAAUUAAAAUGUUUUUCAUUAAGUAAAAUGACUUUUAACAAAUCAAAUAAUUUUCAAACAAAUCAAAAUUGUUACAGGCCAAAAAGUAUAGAUACCUUUUUGGACAAGUAUCGAUAUUUUAUGAAUUAUCGAUACCCUUCUUAAAAGCGAUACCAAAAUGGCGUUCUAUUAUUCACAAACCCUAUUAAGUAUCGAUAUCUUUUAGUCAAGUAUCAAUAUUUUUUGAAAUACCGAUACACCUUAAAAGCGAUACUAAAAUAGUAUUAUGUUUCUUACAAAACUUACAAAGGAUUGAUAGGUAUCGAUAGCUUUUUAUAAAGUAUCAAUAAAACUGUUUUGGUAUCGAUAACAAAUCUCCAAUGGUCACUGAAUUUAGCAUUUAUUGCGAAAAUUAUUGAUACCCUUUUAUAUGGUAUUGAUACUCAAUGUUACAUGUGAAUUAAAUGCUCUAGUUUCUACAUCCCAACGACUCUAUUCAUGACACCAACAACCUCAACGGUUGGAAAUCAAUUAAGGGGUAUAAAUACCAACUUUUAACGUUCCUACAACAAGAAGAAAGCACUUUCAAGCUAAAAUCAUCAAUUAAACGACCUUUGAGCUUACUAUUUCCAUAUUCUUCUUACAUACACUUGUGAGCUUUAGUUCUAUUCUUUUUCUCAAGCGUAUUUCAUUGUAUUUGAGCUUGAUUUGCAAACACUUUGAUCUUGUAAGGGUCAUUUCUUUGUUUGCUUAUUUGUGCUUCCUUGAGAGGGUUUGUGUCUUAAGAUUAAGGAUAGAAAUCUUAAAGGAGUUGUAAGGUUAAACCUUAUCCUCAAAGGUUAUCAAAUUAGUGAAUUUGGGAAAAUCCUUAGUUGUGGAAAGCUAAGGUAGUGGAGUAGGCAAUUAGGGUCGAACCACUCUAAAUCAUGGUGUUCUUCUUUCAAUUUUCCUUCUAACUUUCACAAAAUUUUUAAAAAUUCAAUUCACCCUCUCUUGGCAAUUUUUGUUUCAUUUAUCGAGCUAACAAUUGGUAUUAGAGCUAGUCUCUAAAAACAGUCUAACAACCAAGAGAAGAUCCUCGAGGUAGCUCAAAUCUCAUCUCUUCAAAAUGCACAAGAUGACAUCUUCUUCCAGCUCCAUUUUGGUUGGUGAGUCUCAAUCUAUCUCCAAACCUCCUUCUUUCAAUGGUACAAAUUAUUCAUAUUGGAAAACUAGAAUGAUGUUGUUCAUCCAAGCUAAAGAUCUUGCCGUGUGGGAUGUCAUCAUUCCUCAAAAGCAAGAAGAAGAUAAAUUAGUUCCAAAGAGCAAGAAUGAAUGGAAUGAGGAAGAUAGGAGAAACGUUCAACUCAACGCAAAGGCCAUGCACACUCUCUUUUGUGCACUUGGUUCGGAUGAAUAUAGUUGAGUUACUUCAUUUUCCAAUGCCAAGGAAAUUUAGGACAAAUUGGAGGUCAUUCAUGAGGGUAUCGAUCAAGUUAAGAAAUCAAAUGUAGGAAUUCUUACUUUCAAUUAUGAGAAUUUCAUGAUGAAGCCCGUGGAGGACAACAAAGCUAUGUUCGAUAGAUUCACCAUCAUCAUCAAUGAACUCAAAUCAUAUGGGAAGACCUAUCCCAAUGAAGAAGUAAUAUGGAAGAUGCUUAGAAGCUUACCUUUGUCUUAAGAUGCUAAAGUUACAACUAUAGAGGAAGCUAAAAACUUGGAGACUCUUUCAUUAGAUGAGCUAAUUGGUUUCUUGCUCACUCAUGAAAUUAGACUCAAGGGAAUGAAAAAAGGAGAACAAAAAGUUGAAAAGAAGAAGGUUGGUGUUGCUCUCAAGUCCACAAUAGUAGAGAGUAAUUCUAAUGAAGAUGUGGAUGAUGAUGAAGAGAUGGUCAUGUUUGCAAGAAGAUUCAAGAGAUUUAUGAAGUCCAACAAAGGAAGAAUAUUUCUAAAGAAGGAAUGACUCAAAGUUGAAUCAACCAAGGAGAAAGAUCACAUUAUUUGUUAUGAGUGCAAGAAAUUGGGACACAUCAAGUUUGACUGUCGUCAAUGGAAUAAGAAGGGGUCUAGCAAACAAAAACACAAGGCCAAGGUUGCUAUUUGGAGUAAUGAGGAUUCAUCCGAUGAAGAAAAUCAAGAAGUAGUCAAGCUAUGUCUCAUGGUCAUCAAUGAUUAUAAGGUAAAUUCUAACUCAUCUAUUUCAAUUUAUUAUUCUUUUGAUGAGUUGCAAGAUGCCUAUGAUGAAUUGGGUUUGGAAUUUGAAGUCAUGAAUUCAAAACAUAAGAAAAUUAUUUCAAAAUUGAAAAAUGAAAAUGAUUUGCUUUCCAAAACCAAUCAUGAACUUGAAGAGAAAGUAAACAAAAUGUAAGAAAUUGUUAAUGAUUUUGAUAAGAAGAAUUUAGAUUUAUAUAAUUUACUUUCUAAAGUUCAUAAUGAUGACAUACCCUUGUAACCCUAGGUAUAAAUGUUAAUUUUACACAAAAUAAUCGACUUUUAUUCCAUUUUUACUUACCCUAGCUGUUCCUCCCCUCCCUUCUCAUCUCUUCCUCUCACUCUCUUUGGUUUUACUUUUUUUCCUUUUAUCCAUUGUUAUCGUCGCCUACACCUAGUUUUACCAUUUCUUUCUUCUUUUUUUUUGCCUCAAGAUUUGUUAACAUAUUCUCCACCAUAUUGUUGUCAUUUUCUUUUUCAUGGUUCUUUGCACCAUCUUUCAUUCAAUCAUACAUAAUCAUCAUAAUUUUGAUUACUGUUCAAUUUAAUCACUUAUGUUUAUGUGUAGAUUAUAUAUUCAUUUCUUAAUCUUAGUACUUUUCACAAUACAAAUCACAUUUUCUCUUACUUACUAAUUUAGUGUUUUAAUUUUCUAUACUUCGUCAAAUACUUUUUAUUCCUAGUAUUUAUAUUAAAAUACAUGUUUCAUACAUCUCAUUCACAACAUAUUUAACUCAAUCUAUUGAAAUACAAUUAAGGUUAGUAUGGAACUUACCCCUUUUGUCAAGAAUUUCUUCAUUUUUUCUUCAUUUCCCUUCCUUCCUCAUCUUCACCACUUUCUUUCCCUUUUCUUCUCAUUUUCUUUACUUCCAUCUACUAUUUUCUUGCUUUUAAAUUGAUGAACAUAUUCUCUAGAAUUUUUACUUCAUCUUUUCUUUUUGGUGUCUAAGGAAAAUUUCAAGAAUUAUUAGUGAAAAAGUGAGUUUUCAUGGUAAAGGAUUAAAUUGUAAGAAAAAUAAAACUUUCACUUCUCUAGCUAUCUCUCACGUUGGAAUGUCAAAAGAUGAUGAAUUCUCUUCAUCUUUCCUCUCUUUUUAUACCAAUAAUUUUUAUAAUAUAAUAUUUAUAUUAUAACAUUUAUCUAAUUAUUUAAUUUAAAAUAUCAUUAAGGUAUCUCUCAUGUCAUCGUUACACUCCAAAAUUCUUUCUCAUGCUAAUUGACCAUUUGACUCUUUAUAAUCCUUAAUUUGUUAAAAUUGUGAUUUAGUCCAUCAUAAUUCUUAAUUUAUUCAAUUUAGUCAUUAUUCAUCCAUUUUCCUUAUUUUCUAGACUCUUCCACCCUUAAUAUAUUUGCACUAUUGAACCUUUAAAUUUUUCAUAUUUAUACUUUAACCCCUCACAUUUUAGAUAUUUACACUUGGACCACCUAACUUUUCAUAUCUUUAUGAUUUAGUCUCUGGCUCAAAUUAAUAUUUCACAACAUACUUCUUAUUUAAUUUUUCUCUAACAUCCCUUAUCCUUUACUUUCUUUAUAUCUUAUUUCACUAAGAAUCUAUCUCAUAAUAUUUUCUACGAAGGGGUUUUUGAGGAUGUUACAUAAUCUCACCACUAAAAUCAUCCUCUCUUCAUUUUCUUUUAAACUACUACAUUAUAUUAUUCCAAAAUAACCUAAAAUUCCAUGAAAUAGAGUCUAAAGCCGCCACCUUUCCUAGACCCAAUCUCCACUACCGAUUGUGGGAUGGGAUAGUUAUUGAAAAUUGAUGUUAAUGGUUCCGUAGUGGGUGGUGUCGUAGUGGUUGGUUCUAACCCUAGUGACGGAAGAUUUGGAGCAUAAAAACAAAAUGAAGAUGACUAUGAGACCUAACAAUGGAGGAUUUUGUAACGCCCAAAAAAAAAUCCCUUGUAUAUCUAUUUUUGUAUGUUUGUGACAUAAAUACAUGUCUGCUUCAGUGGUUAAGUGUUUUGGGAAGUGUCUGAGAGGUCCCAAGUUCUAGCCUUAGCUUGGGAAAAAAUUUGUUUUUAAUUGAAUAAACCCCUAUCAUUAGCCAGUAGGCUUAUAAAUAAAUGUUAGUGAAAUAUGUCAGAAUGGGUCUGCUGGUCUAGUGGAUAAGUAGAGUGGCAAAGUGUUGGUGGUUUUAAGUUUGAGUACUGGUAUGCGCAGAGAGUGUUUUAUUUUGCUGCUAGUGUCGUGUGGGUGUUUUAGUCUAACCGAACUACUGAAGAGUUGGAGUGGAAUUUGAAUUAGGUGGUUGAGGGAGGGGUGGACAAUUUUUGGGGAGUGGAUUGAGGGAUUUGGGGAGAAAAGUAAGGAGUAGAGGCAUUUGAGUUGGACUGGGAUGUUGAGUGGUUGGAAUGGAUGUGGUUUAGUGGAGUAAAUCAAGGAGUUUGGGGAGUUACCCUUUGAUUCCGAAAAUCUCUGCCGAACUCUCCUCUACCAUCUCUUAUUUUUUAUUUUUUUAUUUCGAGUGCUUUCCCUCUACCUGUCGAAUUUUUCCCUCUUCACCUUUUCUUUUUCUUUUGUUUUCAGCCAAAAUCCCCCAUUGCUGCCAUUUUCCCCUUCAAUUCUCUUUCUUUUUUGUUUUGUUGCCGAAAUUUCAAGUGUUUCUCCUUAUCUUUCAUUUCGGUCUAUCUGGCUCAUUGACUUUUGUUUCCAUGCGAUAAUGGUAAGUAGUGUUGUUGUGUUCUUUUAGUUUUGGUUUCGAAAGAUUUUGAUUCUGUUGUUUGUAUAUAGGGGACGAUCGUGAAGUGGUUUUUCUUCCCAACGAAUUGAUUAGCGCGAGUAGUCGGGGGUGAUUGCGGUAAGUGAGUGCAUUUCACUCGUCUUGGUAUUUAUUAAUUUUUGUUUUAGUUAAAUUCGAGAUUGGGUGCGCUGCUUGCAGGUUGCAGAAGGUUAGGAAGUGCGGUCGACGCCACACCGGCGUGUGGUCACCCGUGUGGUAGGCCGUGUGAUCGAACAUGGGCGUGUGAUCGAUGAGGUCAGCCAUGCACGAUACAUUGGCCGAGCCGAAUUGGACUCGUGGGCCCUACACGUGCAUGUGGUAAUAUUGGGCCAGGCUGUGAGAUCCAUACGACCGAGGCCAUUUUGGGUCGUGUGGGCCACACAUGUGUCUAGGCCCACAUGGGCAUACAACAAGGGCCUGUGGGCCCAUUUUCACUGUUUGACUACUAAGGUUGCACGAGUUGCCUAAGUCGACUGUGGACCUACUAUAGGGUCGGUAAGUUUACUUGGACCCCUUAUUAAUUGAAAUGAUUGAAAGACUGUUAUAUGCCUAUAUGAGAUAGAUAUGUAUGUCUGUAUGUUGAGCAUGUUAUUCGCACUAUACUGAUUAUACAUGAUACCAUGACAUGACUGUAUGAUGCAUUGUAGUGGGUUGGGGAUUGAUAUUUAUUAGAGGAAGUGUACUGAAAGGCCUCGAGCCUAACUUACUAGCAACUCAGCUGUAACUACUGCCUAGUGUCGCAUUCGGUACUUUUUGGAGUGUAGAGAUGGGUGGGUCGAUUAUAUCCCCACUUGGAGUGUAGGGUUGGACGGAGAUGGGUGGGCUGGUUAGGUAGGACCUGUAUACUGUAUAAUCUAUUACUAUACUGAUUAUUGUUACUGUAAUGGGCCAAGGCCCAAACACAUGAUUGCUUUUGUGCUGAGAUGGACUAAAGACCAAACUGAUAUUGUCUCUGACACUGAAAAGGGCCUAGGCUGAGACCAUGAUUGCUUUCUGUUUGUUUGCUUUAUAUGGGAUUACACUGAGUUUUCGUAAACUCACCCUUCUGAUUUGACUGUACAAGAAAUCCCUAAACAUAGGCGGAUUGGUGCGAGGAGGACUCAGCGGUGGCCACACGACCUAUUUAAUUCGAUUUAGUACUUAAUUAUAAUUUUAAUUUUAUUUUGGGGUAUUUUACUGUAAUAAUGGUCUUUCUGGAUUUUUAUGUUUAAUUUGGGGUUUCUAUUGUUUUGACUUACAAUUGCUAGUAGUAGGGAUAAUCGAGUUUUCAAAACGAAACAAACAUUUUAACAAAAUACAUACAAAUUGGCAAACUGUUUUAAAAAGUUUUCGCGAUAAAUAACGUUUUGAAAAUUUAUAACGUUUUGAAAGAGAAUAACUUAUGAAUAUGAAUCACGUUUGAAAUUGAUCGACA
Molecule: long non-coding RNA, 10206 nt
Filed under: Gossypium barbadense (sea-island cotton)
Lineage: Eukaryota; Viridiplantae; Streptophyta; Magnoliopsida; Malvales; Malvaceae
Description: long non-coding RNA (GBAR_LNC020010)
Source: RNAcentral